CUCUAAGAUUAUCUUACUUCCAAAGCAAAAAGGAGUGAUGACUGCAGUGAUUGGGCCACUGAAGGAGCCUGUCCAGAGAAACAAGAUCAAUUCUUGCCAAUGCCCAGACAGAUGGGGGUCCCUGUGUGAGGAAAGGAGCACUCAGUGUGGGUCCUGCUACCUCCUGAAUCCUUUUCCACCUUCUGUGGCACAUGCUAUUUUGCUGCUGAGGUUUCUUCUGGGCCUAUAUGACGUGCCAAUAAUUUUGAGCUUCCUUUGAAGUUAAGAGGAGGUCAUCUGACAACUUCUACUGAAUGAAUUCUGUGAAGAAAUGGCAUAUGUUAUGUAUGGGCCAAAGAAGUGUAGAACUGGUGUGCCUCUUCCAUCUUUCUUUUUCAACCAUGGCAACCUGGGAAUUCACAUAUUGAGAUGGCAGUUUCACCAGAUGGAGGAGGUUUGGAUCCCUGAGUCACCAGAUGGAGGCAAGCUCUGGCCAACUUGCAUUGGAGUUCAUACAAAAUGAUUGAAGAAAUGAAUUUCGCAGUACCACAUCUGCCACCUCCUGAUUUGUGCACUUCUUGCUGCCACCAUGUGAAGAAGGAUGUGUUUGUUACCCCUUCUGCUAUGAUU
RNAcentral lists this long non-coding RNA (609 nucleotides) under Pongo abelii (Sumatran orangutan). RNAcentral describes it as "lincRNA". The record is from RNAcentral. Lineage: Eukaryota; Metazoa; Chordata; Mammalia; Primates; Hominidae.